This 1343-nucleotide ribosomal RNA is filed under the name uncultured bacterium. Its description in RNAcentral is "16S ribosomal RNA". It matches the Rfam family "Bacterial small subunit ribosomal RNA", at positions 28 to 1378 of the family's 1533-position model. The record is from RNAcentral.
GACGAACGCUGGCGGCGUGCUUAACACAUGCAAGUCGAACGGAAAGGCCCUGCUUUUGUGGGGUGCUCGAGUGGCGAACGGGUGAGUAACACGUGAGUAACCUGCCCUUGACUUUGGGAUAACUUCAGGAAACUGGGGCUAAUACCGGAUAGGAGCUCCUGCUGCAUGGUGGGGGUUGGAAAGUUUCGGCGGUUGGGGAUGGACUCGCGGCUUAUCAGCUUGUUGGUGGGGUAGUGGCUUACCAAGGCUUUGACGGGUAGCCGGCCUGAGAGGGUGACCGGCCACAUUGGGACUGAGAUACGGCCCAGACUCCUACGGGAGGCAGCAGUGGGGAAUAUUGCACAAUGGGCGGAAGCCUGAUGCAGCAACGCCGCGUGCGGGAUGACGGCCUUCGGGUUGUAAACCGCUUUCGCCUGUGACGAAGCGUGAGUGACGGUAAUGGGUAAAGAAGCACCGGCUAACUACGUGCCAGCAGCCGCGGUGAUACGUAGGGUGCGAGCGUUGUCCGGAUUUAUUGGGCGUAAAGGGCUCGUAGGUGGUUGAUCGCGUCGGAAGUGUAAUCUUGGGGCUUAACCCUGAGCGUGCUUUCGAUACGGGUUGACUUGAGGAAGGUAGGGGAGAAUGGAAUUCCUGGCGGAGCGGUGGAAUGCGCAGAUAUCAGGAGGAACACCAGUGGCGAAGGCGGUUCUCUGGGCCUUUCCUGACGCUGAGGAGCGAAAGCGUGGGGAGCGAACAGGCUUAGAUACCCUGGUAGUCCACGCUGUAAACGGUGGGUACUAGGUGUGGGGUCCAUUCCACGGGUUCCGUGCCGUAGCUAACGCUUUAAGUACCCCGCCUGGGGAGUACGGCCGCAAGGCUAAAAUUCAAAGGAAUUGACGGGGCCCCGCACAAGCGGCGGAGCAUGCGGAUUAAUUCGAUGCAACGCGUAGAACCUUACCUGGGUUUGACAUGGAUCGGGAGCGCUCAGAGAUGGGUGUGCCUCUUUUGGGGUCGGUUCACAGGUGGUGCAUGGCUGUCGUCAGCUCGUGUCGUGAGAUGUUGGGUUAAGUCCCGCAACGAGCGCAACCCUUGUUCACUGUUGCCAGCACGUUAUGGUGGGGACUCAGUGGAGACCGCCGGGGUCAACUCGGAGGAAGGUGGGGAUGACGUCAAGUCAUCAUGCCCCUUAUGUCCAGGGCUUCACGCAUGCUACAAUGGCUGGUACAGAGAGUGGCGAGCCUGUGAGGGUGAGCGAAUCUCGGAAAGCCGGUCUCAGUUCGGAUUGGGGUCUGCAACUCGACCUCAUGAAGUCGGAGUCGCUAGUAAUCGCAGAUCAGCAACGCUGCGGUGAAUACGUUCCCGGG